This 56-nucleotide transfer RNA is filed under the name Leptotrombidium pallidum. Its description in RNAcentral is "tRNA-Arg". Lineage: Eukaryota; Metazoa; Arthropoda; Arachnida; Trombidiformes; Trombiculidae. The record is from RNAcentral.
UUAGUUGAAGCUCAAAGACUUCGGAUCUUUAAAAGGAAAUCCCUUCUCCAAUUGAG